Molecule: ribosomal RNA, 271 nt
Filed under: Pseudoalteromonas sp.
Lineage: Bacteria; Pseudomonadati; Pseudomonadota; Gammaproteobacteria; Alteromonadales; Pseudoalteromonadaceae
Description: partial 16S ribosomal RNA
Rfam family: Bacterial small subunit ribosomal RNA
Source: RNAcentral
GGGUUAAGUCCCGCAACGAGCGCAACCCCUAUCCUUAGUUGCUAGCAGGUAAUGCUGAGAACUCUAAGGAGACUGCCGGUGAUAAACCGGAGGAAGGUGGGGACGACGUCAAGUCAUCAUGGCCCUUACGUGUAGGGCUACACACGUGCUACAAUGGCGCAUACAGAGUGCUGCGAACUCGCGAGAGUAAGCGAAUCACUUAAAGUGCGUCGUAGUCCGGAUUGGAGUCUGCAACUCGACUCCCAUGAAGUCGGAAUCGCCUAGUAAUCGC